UACAUACUUCCUCCGUUCGGAAUUACUCGUCCAAGAAAUGAAUGUAUCUAGAUGUAUUUUAGUUGUAGAUACAUCCAUUUUUGAUACAAGUAAUUCCGAACAGAGGGAGUACUAC
Triticum aestivum (bread wheat) is the source of this 115-nucleotide non-coding RNA. The record is from Rfam. NCBI's taxonomy places the organism in Eukaryota, Viridiplantae, Streptophyta, Magnoliopsida, Poales, Poaceae.